RNAcentral lists this ribosomal RNA (253 nucleotides) under uncultured bacterium. RNAcentral's name for it is "partial 16S ribosomal RNA". It matches the Rfam family "Bacterial small subunit ribosomal RNA", at positions 524 to 776 of the family's 1533-position model. The record is from RNAcentral.
UACGGAGGGUGCAAGCGUUAUCCGGAUUUACUGGGUUUAAAGGGCGUGUAGGCGGGCUUUUAAGUCAGUGGUGAAAUCUCCGGGCUCAACCCGGAAACUGCCAUUGAUACUAUUAGUCUUGAAUUUUGUUGAGGUAGGCGGAAUAAGUCAUGUAGCGGUGAAAUGCAUAGAUAUGACUUAGAACACCAAUUGCGAAGGCAGCUUGCUAAACAAAUAUUGACGCUGAGGCACGAAAGCGUGGGGAGCAAACAGG